This 1942-nucleotide long non-coding RNA is filed under the name Vigna radiata. RNAcentral's name for it is "long non-coding RNA (VRAD_LNC004532)". Lineage: Eukaryota; Viridiplantae; Streptophyta; Magnoliopsida; Fabales; Fabaceae. The record is from RNAcentral.
ACACUUUACCUCUGUUUACUUUCUUUUCUUUAUCUUGUUCUGAUACGCACAUCAACACAAUGUGUUCCGAUUCCGAGUCGCAAGUAUCUUGUGCCAAAUUUGCAGCUUCGUCGUUCUUGAUUUUUUUGUUGCUUUCGUUAUGCCAGCACUCGGAGGAGUAGUGGCCAAAUUUACUACACGUGAAACAUUGCACGUUUCUUUUGUCGACGCUUUUUCUGCCGCCUCUUCCUUUGGGUUUUCCUCGCCCCCCAUAACUACCUUCUCUUUGAUCGUUGUUGUUUUCUUCUUUAAUCUGUUCGGAGUUAUUGGAGAAUCUUCCUCCAUUACGACCUCCACGACCGCCUCGUGUUCUACCUCGUCCUCUACCAAACCCGCGACCCUUUUGAAUCUUAGCUUGCAAUGCCUGAUUCAUGUUUUGACUUGCAUCCUUUUCUGCAGUUUUCCUUUCUAACAGUCGCUGUUCAUGGGCUUCGAGCGAGUUUUGCAACUCUUCAACCUUCAUUUUCUCCAAGUCUCUGCUUUCUACAAUAGCCACAACAAUAUGGUCGUAUUGGGGCGUUAGGGUUCGCAAGAUUUUAUGGACAAUCUUCUUGUCCUUGACAACUUUGUCGCAUGCCCUCAUUGCAUUGACAAUCACUUGGAUUUUGCCGAUGUAUUCUCCGAUAGUUUCUUGUUCCCCCAUGUUCAGAAGCUCAUACUGCCGUCUCAGUGACUGUAACUUAAUCUCCUUUAUAUUUCCAGCAGUUCCAUAUCCAUCAUGUAGAAUGUCCCAAGUUUCUUUUGCUGUCGUGGUCUUAGACACCUUUUGAAAGAUUGUUGCUGAAAUACAUUGAUGCAAGAUCAUGCGUGUUUUGCAAUCUAACUUUCGAUUUUCUUUAUACGUCUUCUUUUCUUCAUCUGUAGCGUUCUUUGCAGGUUCUUUAAACCCAAUCUUCACGAUUUCAUCAAUCUCCUGGAAACCAAGGAUAGCAUCCAUCUUGACGCACCAAUCUUCGAAGUUCUUUCCGUCAAAUAUGGGUAGAUUACUCUGGAUCAUCCCCGCCAUCUUUUCAACGUGAAGCCUUUCUUCACUGCACAAUUUCUUCGCAAAGAACGAUACCUCUCAAGUUCAGAAAUCUUGCUCUUGAUACCACUGAUGGUUCAGAGGAUAUGUUUUACAAAAUACAGAGAGAAUGAAAAUGGUACAGAGGAAAUGAAAGAGAGCACUCAGAGGAAUUAUGAGAGAACAAGUUACUUCUCAUUAAUGAAAGGCUGCCUUAUAUAGGCAAAGUACANAAAGUAANAGAAAAGCUAUUCUAUAAAACGACAUAGUUUUGGUUUAUUUACAAUAUAGUCGACAUCUGUAAUCAAUUUAGAAGUUGGGAAGGGAAUCAGACAUCUAAACUACUUUUGGUUUACUUUUGCAUAUCAUUUAGGAAAAAGUCUUUUUAACAACUCUUUCUUGACAAUUUUUUUACAACGCAUACGUGGCAGUUUGUGAUUAGUUUAUUUCAAAUAUUUUUUUAAAAUAAAUUCAAACAGACCAACAAAAUAGUGACACGUGUCCUAUUGUCAAAAAAUUGUUAAAAAAGAGUUGUUAAAAUAUCAUUCUUCUAAGGUCCAAUGUGGAUGGCCGACAUGUAAAUGGCCCUUAGACGUCUGGAUGGAGAGGCACAUACAUCUAAAUGUAAUAAAAACUGGUCUGAACAAUUUUAGCGUUGGGCCAACGUGUGUAACUAUUUAAACAUCGGUUUCCUAAAACCGGUCUGAACAAGUCUUUUAUUUAAAAACUGCCUCCGAUAUUUUUGAAAGUUCGGUAGUUAUUUUAUGAUAAAAAAAGUAUACUAUUUAUUAAUAUAAAAAUGGUCUCGGUAGAAUCUUUGGGAAGAUCUAUAUAGUUUCACCAGUUUUCCCAUCUUUAUUUUGUAUUUUCUUUUACAUAUUCAAGUUGCCACAAAAUCUC